Molecule: long non-coding RNA, 1698 nt
Filed under: Bemisia tabaci
Lineage: Eukaryota; Metazoa; Arthropoda; Insecta; Hemiptera; Aleyrodidae
Description: lncRNA ENSSSA2NGG004403
Source: RNAcentral
GAUUAGGAGCAAAGUUGCGGCAAUGCACUUUUGUUCCCAACUGCGUCGUAUUUUACAGUGUAAAACAGAGACGACUAUCAGAAUUUCUUUUGCCGAAAUUGAAGUAAUUGUGAAAUUGUGAUGUUAUUUGACGUUGAACUUAGUGUUGUGUAACCCUAGAGACUCAUGUGAGUUGUGACUUGGGCUCUUCGUGAACUUUGUGAAGAUUAUGUGAAGAGACUUCUGAAAUUCUGCUUAGCCUGUUAAGAUGACAGCUGCUCUCCUUUUUCUGACUGGCUGAAUGAAUCUGUUCCCACUUCCAGUGUGUCUCUGUUGCCUCACGCAUUACUCUCCUUUGCUCUGUUGAAAAAUAUGGAAGUUAAUAACACCGGGAGAGGGAUACCAGUUCCCAUCCUUAUAAUCCAUAAGGACUUCAAAUCUGAAGAACUACUGACUUGCGAAAGAACCGUGUUUGUUCAUCCGAAUGAACAUAAUAGCUAUCAGCAACUUCUGAAUUUCAUUCGGAGUUUCCCAGAGACGGCAAAAUAUACCGAGGAUGAUUAUACUAUCAGUUACUUUGACACGGAUAAUGAUCAGAUUCCAGUGCAAAGUGAAACCGAGUUUUCGGAAUACCUGAAAGUAUGCAUGCUUGCGCAGUCGGAAGGCAAAGUUCGUUCGUUGGUCAUUUAUGAUAAAGGGCUGCCUAAGAAUCGAAUUGACUGUUGUUUCAAUGACAGCCCUCAACCUAUGAAAGCAUCACAUAAACAUAAAUUGUCAAUAGAGCACGCAGCUUCGAUUAACAUUGGUAGUGCUUUCACCAACAUGUCACUAAAUGAAAAUUCUGGUGAAAUCAGUGAUGACAACCUUGUCAACUCAGGCGGAGCCCCUUUGUGGUUUUCAAGAGAGAUGGAUAAGUUUAAAGCAGAAAUCAUGAAAAAUAUGUCUACCCACCUAGAAAGCUUCACUAAAGAAUUUCAUCUUGCUUUGGAGAAAGCCAUAAGAGGAGACGAGCCAAAGAAACUGAAGAAAAACAAAGAAAAGAAGAGAAGUGAAAAGAAAGAGAAAACCAAACUACUCGGGAGUGCCGGUACAUCCAAAACAAUGAAAGACAAGCAAACAAAAAUCAAUGAAACAUUGAAAGGAUGGGCUAUCAAUGAAACACUGACCAACUCUAAGAAGAAAGACACUGAGCGUCUUAAGACCAAAUGUAGUGAUCUUUCCCAAUCCUCCAGCGAUAGUGACAACCGCGACGGUCAGGAAGAAUCUGAUGAUAUUGUGAUCGUUGGUUUCAAUUCCUCCUUUGACGAGAUUUCUGACACUGACUUGAGUUUCGUAAAUGGAGAGGAGCUUGCAAAAGAAAUGCCCACGGAUGGAAAGGCCGUUGAUGUCGAGCUUCCUCCAUGCUUCUUCCCUGAGAUACCUGUAACAUUCAAAGACAACAUACCUUUGCAGUUGAAUCAGAAUGACUUGAAAGGAUUAAAAUCUACAAUUCCAAAUAGUCGGGCUUUUCCCUUAAUAAGAAAAGCAGGUCAAAAGACAAGAAACAUGAUGAGAAUGUAUCCAUGGCAGAUGAAGAAGAUAUUCAUCAUUCCUCAAAGGACAAGAAACAAUCAGAGAAAUCGAAAAAGCAUUGGAGUAAACUGGAGGAGAAGUUUAAAACUCUUCAAAAUUCAUGUAAAAAUGAAGAAGACCGUUGGAAAGUUUUGGAAGCAGAAUUAA